AACGAACGCUGGCGGCGCGCUUAACACAUGCAAGUCGCACGGACGGUUUCGGCCGUCAGUGGCGCACGGGUGAGUAACGCGUGGGAACCUACCCUGGGGUCUGGGACAACCGCGGGAAACUGCGGCUAAUACCGGAUACGUGCUGCGGCAGAAAGGAGUGAUCUGCCCUGGGAUGGGCCCGCGUCCGAUUAGCUAGUUGGUGGGGUAACGGCCCACCAAGGCUGCGAUCGGUAGCCGGCUGAGAGGAUGAUCGGCCACACUGGGACUGAGACACGGCCCAGACUCCUACGGGAGGCAGCAGUGGGGAAUCUUGGACAAUGGGCGCAAGCCUGAUCCAGCGACGCCGCGUGGGUGAUGAAGGCCU
This 364-nucleotide ribosomal RNA is filed under the name uncultured bacterium. RNAcentral's name for it is "bacterial SSU rRNA". It matches the Rfam family "Bacterial small subunit ribosomal RNA", at positions 28 to 417 of the family's 1533-position model. The record is from RNAcentral.